GAUGAACGCUGGCGGCGUGCCUAAUACAUGCAAGUCGAGCGAACAGACGAGGAGCUUGCUUCUCUGACGUUAGCGGCGGACGGGUGAGUAACACGUGGAUAACCUACCUAUAAGACUGGGAUAACUUCGGGAAACCGGAGCUAAUACCGGAUAAUAUAUUGAACCGCAUGGUUCAAUAGUGAAAGACGGUUUUGCUGUCACUUAUAGAUGGAUCCGCGCCGCAUUAGCUAGUUGGUAAGGUAACGGCUUACCAAGGCAACGAUGCGUAGCCGACCUGAGAGGGUGAUCGGCCACACUGGAGCUGAGACGCGGUCCAGACUCCUACGGGAGGCAGCAGUAGGGAAUCUUCCGCAAUGGGCGAAAGCCUGACGGAGCAACGCCACGUGAGUGAUGAAGGUCUUCGGAUCGUAAAACUCUGUUAUGAGGGAAAAACAAAUGUGUAAGUAACUAUGCACGUCUUGACGGUACCUAAUCAGAAAGCCACGGCUAACUACGUG
This 497-nucleotide ribosomal RNA is filed under the name uncultured bacterium. RNAcentral describes it as "partial 16S ribosomal RNA". It matches the Rfam family "Bacterial small subunit ribosomal RNA", at positions 28 to 507 of the family's 1533-position model. The record is from RNAcentral.